RNAcentral lists this ribosomal RNA (426 nucleotides) under uncultured Pseudomonadaceae bacterium. RNAcentral's name for it is "bacterial SSU rRNA". It matches the Rfam family "Bacterial small subunit ribosomal RNA", at positions 356 to 774 of the family's 1533-position model. The record is from RNAcentral. Lineage: Bacteria; Pseudomonadati; Pseudomonadota; Gammaproteobacteria; Pseudomonadales; Pseudomonadaceae.
GGGGAAUAUUGGCCAAUGGGCGAAAGCCUGAUCCAGCCGUGCCGCGUGUGUGAAGAAGGUCUUCGGAUUGUAAAGCACUUUAAGUUGGGAGGAAUGGCAGUAAGUUACUACCUUUCUGUUUUGACGUUACCAACAGAAUAAGCACCGGCUACCUUCGUGCCAGCAGCCGCGGUAAUACGAAGGGUGCAAGCGUUAAUCGGAAUUACUGGGCGUAAAGCGCGCGUAGGUGGUUCGUUAAGUUGGAUGUGAAAGCCCCGGGCUCAACCUGGGAACUGCAUUCAAAACUGGCGAGCUAGAGUACGGUAGAGGGUGGUGGAAUUUCCUGUGUAGCGGUGAAAUGCGUAGAUAUAGGAAUGAACACCAGUGGCGAAGGCGACCACCUCGACUGAUACUGACACUGAGGUGCGAAAGCGUGGGGAGCAAACA